GGGAGGGAGCCACCAGAAGUGACCCAUUGGAAAGUAAUAACCCAAUACGAGAGUGCCCUGUGAUUGGGGACCAGCAUUAACUUGGAUUCUGGUUGAAAGCACACAUCCUGAUCUUUCCAAAUGAUAGGAAAGAUUUUCAGUAAAACAAUAGAGGUUGAGCUGUAGGAGAAAGUUUGGGAUCCAGUUUCAAGGGCAGUCAGCUAGUCCAAGAAAACCUCGUCACUGGGGUUCAGUUUUAGGUUUAGGGAUGUUCAGGAUGCCUUGAGGUCUCCCUGGAUCCAAAUCUAGUCCUGGUCCCGAGAUCAGGGGCCCUGAGUAUCCAACCUGAGUUUGAACACACUGCAGUUUUUCUUUGAAGGUUUUAUGUCCCUUUAAAGGCAAAAGUUUUAACAGACGAACAUUCCCUUCCUGUGAAGAGUCUGAGAAGUAGAGCAGAAGAGCUGAUCAUUUCCCUACUGGAGCAAAGUAGAGCCUGCAGAAAACCUUCUGUCGUCUGAAUCAGCUUUUAAGCAACAGGAAGCUUGGAGAUGCCGGCGGCUCACUUCAGAGGAAGAACGAGGCCCACUGAGCGUCUCAGCGCAGGUGAGUCCUGGGCCCGGCAUCCCCCGGGGUGUGUAAUACACAGAUGGCAGGUACCUUCUCUCUGGUCCCUACCACAACCUGGCACAUGGCGAAGGCCACGGUUUGUUGAUCCAGUCUAAUGUGGACUCACAUGUUCAAGGUGUUGAGAUGAAGGCAGGAGUCAGAACACCCUCCCAUCAGCGGUCCACCGAGCCCUCACCCUAUUGCAUCUGAACAGGACAGCCACCACGUCCCCUGCCACACAGCUCUGCUCCUGCCACUUCUACCCCAGGCCUGGGAAAUCCAAACAGAACAGAGUGGCCAGGCAGCUGCCAAGUGACGCGUGUGACCACCAGCCGGUGCUCGGCUCCUGCAUUCCCAAGGGCUGCGGGGCGCCGGGUCUCCUGCGCCCACCUCCAACCAGCACCUGGCC
Lutra lutra (Eurasian river otter) is the source of this 994-nucleotide long non-coding RNA. RefSeq lists it as uncharacterized. The transcript has 3 exons. The record is from RefSeq and is a predicted model, not a curated record. Lineage: Eukaryota; Metazoa; Chordata; Mammalia; Carnivora; Mustelidae.